UACGUAGGGUGCAAGCGUUAAUCGGAAUUACUGGGCGUAAAGCGUGCGCAGGCGGUUUUGUAAGUUUGUCGUGAAAUCCCCGGGCUUAACCUGGGAACUGCAUUUGUGACUGCAAGGCUAGAGUGUGUCAGAGGGAGGUGGAAUUCCGCGUGUAGCAGUGAAAUGCGUAGAGAUGCGGAGGAACACCGAUGGCGAAGGCAGCCUCCUGGGAUAACACUGACGCUCAUGCACGAAAGCGUGGGGAGCAAACAGG
RNAcentral lists this ribosomal RNA (253 nucleotides) under uncultured bacterium. Its description in RNAcentral is "partial 16S ribosomal RNA". It matches the Rfam family "Bacterial small subunit ribosomal RNA", at positions 524 to 776 of the family's 1533-position model. The record is from RNAcentral.